This 442-nucleotide ribosomal RNA is filed under the name uncultured Nesterenkonia sp. RNAcentral describes it as "bacterial SSU rRNA". It matches the Rfam family "Bacterial small subunit ribosomal RNA", at positions 18 to 457 of the family's 1533-position model. Lineage: Bacteria; Bacillati; Actinomycetota; Actinomycetes; Micrococcales; Micrococcaceae. The record is from RNAcentral.
CAUGGCUCAGGAUGAACGCUGGCGGCGUGCUUAACACAUGCAAGUCGAACGAUGAAGCUGGUGCUUGCACUGGUGGAUUAGUGGCGAACGGGUGAGUAUCACGUGAGUAACCUUCCCUUGACUCUGGGAUAAGCCCGGGAAACUGGGUCUAAUACCGGAUAUGACCGGCCUCCGCAUGGGGUGCUGGUGGAAAGCUUUUGCGGUUUUGGAUGGACUCGCGGCCUAUCAGUUUGUUGGUGAGGUAAUGGCUCACCAAGGCGAUGACGGGUAGCUGGUCUGAGAGGAUGAUCAGCCACACUGGGACUGAGACACGGCCCAGACCCCUACGGGAGGCAGCAGUGGGGAAUCUUGCACAAUGGGCGAAAGCCUGAUGCAGCAACGCCGCGUGCGGGAUGAAGGCCCUAGGGUUGUAAACCGCUUUCAGCAGGGAAGAAAAUGACGG